RNAcentral lists this ribosomal RNA (427 nucleotides) under uncultured bacterium. RNAcentral describes it as "bacterial SSU rRNA". It matches the Rfam family "Bacterial small subunit ribosomal RNA", at positions 355 to 775 of the family's 1533-position model. The record is from RNAcentral.
UGGGGAAUCUUGCGCAAUGGGCGAAAGCCUGACGCAGCGACGCCGCGUGAGUGAUGAAGGCCCUCGGGUUGUAAAGCUCUGUGGAGAGGGACGAAUAAGUGUUGGCUAACAUCCAGCAUGAUGACGGUACCUCUUUAGCAAGCACCGGCUAACUCUGUGCCAGCAGCCGCGGUAAGACAGAGGGUGCAAACGUUGUUCGGAAUUACUGGGCGUAAAGCGCGUGUAGGCUGUCUCGAAAGUCGGGUGUGAAAGCCCCGGGCUCAACCUGGGAAGUGCACUCGAAACUUCGAGACUCGAGUCCUGGAGAGGAAGGCGGAAUUCUCGGUGUAGAGGUGAAAUUCGUAGAUAUCGAGAGGAACACCGGUGGCGAAGGCGGCCUUCUGGACAGUGACUGACGCUGAGACGCGAAAGCGUGGGGAGCAAACAG